This 230-nucleotide long non-coding RNA is filed under the name Helianthus annuus (common sunflower). RNAcentral's name for it is "hypothetical non coding rna". The record is from RNAcentral. Lineage: Eukaryota; Viridiplantae; Streptophyta; Magnoliopsida; Asterales; Asteraceae.
UUCUUGCCUAUAAGAAUUUCAAAGUUUGGGAUUUUGGUGCUUGUUCAAUGCUUCUUAAGGUAACUUGGAGCACUAAUGAAUCUAAAUUGGAGCGCUAAUGAAUCGAAACAAGCCAAUGACAAAACUGAGGAAGACGGAAAAUGGGAAGAACUCAUGAUACCCGCAACAAACCCAUUAAGACAAUGACUUAUAAGUAUUAUGUUAUCUUGGUUUUUUUUAAUUUGUGUUCU